CCUACGGGAGGCAGCAGUCGGGAAUAUUGCGCAAUGGAGGAAACUCUGACGCAGUAACGCCGCGUGCAGGAAGAAGGUUUUCGGAUUGUAAACUGCUUUAGACAGGGAAGAAAAAGAACAGUACCUGUAGAAUAAGCUCCGGCUAACUACGUGCCAGGAGCCGCGGUAAUACGGAGGAUCCGAGCGUUAUCCGGAUUUAUUGGGGUUAAAGGUAGGGUAGAUGGGUUGUUAAGGCAGUUGUGAAAGUUUUCGGCUCAACCGUAAAAUUGCAAUUGAUACUGGCAGCCUUGAGUACAGUUGAGGUAGGCGGAAUUCGUGGUGUAGCGGUAAAAUGCUUAGAUAUCACGAAGAACUCUGAUUGCGAAGGCAGCUUACUAAACUGCCACUGACAUUGAUGCUCGAAAGUGUGGGUAGCAAACAGGAUUAGAUACCCCAGUAGUC
Molecule: ribosomal RNA, 441 nt
Filed under: uncultured bacterium
Lineage: Bacteria
Description: partial 16S ribosomal RNA
Rfam family: Bacterial small subunit ribosomal RNA
Source: RNAcentral